Molecule: ribosomal RNA, 460 nt
Filed under: uncultured bacterium
Lineage: Bacteria
Description: partial 16S ribosomal RNA
Rfam family: Bacterial small subunit ribosomal RNA
Source: RNAcentral
CCUACGGGCGGCAGCAGUGAGGAAUAUUGGUCAAUGGACGGAAGUCUGAACCAGCCAAGCCGCGUGCAGGAAGACGGCUCUGUGAGUUGUAAACUUCUUUUGUCCGGGGAUAAAGGCAGAUACGUGUAUCUGUCUGAGAGUAUCGGACGAAAAAGCAUCGGCUAACUCCGUGCCAGCAGCCGCGGUAAUACGGAGGAUUCAAGCGUUAUCCGGAUUUAUUGGGUUUAAAGGGUGCGUAGGCGGUCGGAUAAGUUAGAGGUGAAAGCCCGAGGCUCAACUUCGGAAUUGCCUUUGAUACUGGUAGGCUAGAGAGGAGUUGCGGUAGGCGGAAUGUAUGGUGUAGCGGUGAAAUGCUUAGAGAUCAUACAGAACACCGAUUGCGAAGGCAGCUUACCAAGCUACUUCUGACGUUGAGGCACGAAAGCGUGGGGAGCAAACAGGAUUAGAUACCCGAGUAGUC